Long non-coding RNA from Amblyraja radiata (thorny skate), 129 nucleotides. RefSeq lists it as uncharacterized. Lineage: Eukaryota; Metazoa; Chordata; Chondrichthyes; Rajiformes; Rajidae. The record is from RefSeq and is a predicted model, not a curated record. The transcript is spliced from 3 exons.
UCCGUGAGCUCUGGUUUCCUCCCACACUCCAAAGAAGUACAGGUUUGUAGGUUAAUUGUCUUGAUAAAAUUGUAAAUUGCCCCUAGUGUGUGGAGCAUAGUGUUAGCAUAUGGGGUAAUUUUCAGUGGA